RNAcentral lists this ribosomal RNA (283 nucleotides) under uncultured bacterium. RNAcentral describes it as "partial 16S ribosomal RNA". It matches the Rfam family "Bacterial small subunit ribosomal RNA", at positions 773 to 1060 of the family's 1533-position model. The record is from RNAcentral.
GUGGAUUAGAUACCCUGGUAGUCCACGCUGUAAACGAUGAUUACUCGAUGUUGGCGAUAAACAGUCAGCGUCUUAGCGAAAGCGUUAAGUAAUCCACCUGGGGAGUACGCCCGCAAGGGUGAAACUCAAAGGAAUUGACGGGGGCCCGCACAAGCGGUGGAGCAUGUGGUUUAAUUCGAUGAUACGCGAGGAACCUUACCUAGGCUAGAAUGCGCGUGACCGCUCCAGAGAUGGAGCUUUCCUUCGGGACACAAAGCAAGGUGCUGCACGGCUGUCGACAGCU